UACAGAGGGUGCGAGCGUUACUCGGAAUUACUGGGCGUAAAGCGCGCGUAGGCGGCUUUUCAAGUCGAUUGUGAAAUCCCCGGGCUUAACCUGGGAACUGCAGUCGGGACUGUCUGGCUAGAGUAUGGGAGAGGGAAGUGGAAUUUCAGGUGUAGCGGUGAAAUGCGUAGAUAUCUGAAGGAACAUCAGUGGCGAAAGCGACUUCCUGGACCAAUACUGACGCUCAUGUGCGAAAGCGUGGGGAGCAAACAGG
RNAcentral lists this ribosomal RNA (253 nucleotides) under uncultured bacterium. RNAcentral's name for it is "partial 16S ribosomal RNA". It matches the Rfam family "Bacterial small subunit ribosomal RNA", at positions 524 to 776 of the family's 1533-position model. The record is from RNAcentral.